AAUAACCAAAUAUAAUACUUGGGCAAAAGGGUCAAGUUGAUAAUUUUCCUUACAUCUCCCCCAUUUC
This 67-nucleotide small RNA is filed under the name Olea europaea subsp. europaea. Lineage: Eukaryota; Viridiplantae; Streptophyta; Magnoliopsida; Lamiales; Oleaceae. The record is from RNAcentral.